GUUUAAGGUUAUUUUGUGAUUGUAACUGAUCUGAUGACGUUUUUCAGUAACUACGGGUUCUUGGUGUUUCAGGUUAUUUUUGUGAUUAUAACCGAUCUGUGUGCUAGUUUCAGUAACUACGGGUUCUUGGUGUUUAAGGUUAUUUUUGUGAUUGUAACUGAUCUGAUGACGUUUUUCAGUAACACGGGUUUCUUGGUGUUUCAGGUUAU
RNAcentral lists this long non-coding RNA (209 nucleotides) under Mytilus galloprovincialis (Mediterranean mussel). Lineage: Eukaryota; Metazoa; Mollusca; Bivalvia; Mytilida; Mytilidae. The record is from RNAcentral.